UACGGGGGGUGCGAGCGUUGUCCGGAAUCACUGGGCGUAAAGGGCGCGUAGGUGGUUUGAUAAGGGUGUGGUGAAAGUCCGGGGCUCAACCCCGGAUCUGCCGUGCCGACUGUCAAACUCGAGGACUGUAGAGGCAGACGGAAUUCCGGGUGUAGCGGUGGAAUGCGUAGAUAUCAGGAGGAACACCAACGGCGAAGGCAGCUCGCUGGGACGGUACUGACACUGAGGCGCGAAAGCGUGGGGAGCGAACAGG
This 253-nucleotide ribosomal RNA is filed under the name uncultured bacterium. RNAcentral describes it as "partial 16S ribosomal RNA". It matches the Rfam family "Bacterial small subunit ribosomal RNA", at positions 524 to 776 of the family's 1533-position model. The record is from RNAcentral.